UCAAAGAUUAAGCCAUGCAUGUCUAAGUAUAAACAACUUGUAUUUGUGAAACUGCGAACGGCUCAUUAAAUCAGUUAAUAUUUAUUUGAUAAUGAUUUUACUACAUGGAUAGCCGUAGUAAUUCUAGAGCUAAUACAUGCGUAUAAGUUUGACUCCGUGAGGGGAAGAACUGUAUUUAUUAGAUCGAAAAACAAAGGAGCGUGUGCAUUCGAUUAACCUCGAGUGUGUGCGUUCCAUAAUGAUGAAUCAUAAUAACUUUGUCGAAUCAUUGGGUCACCCCUUUGAUGUGUCAUUUGAAUUUCUGCCCUAUCAACUUGUGAUGGUAGGAUAGAGGCCUUACCAUGGUUUUGACGGGUAACGGGGAAUUAGGGUUCGAUUCCGGAGAGGGAGCCUGAGAAAUGGCUACUACUUCUAAGGAAGGCAGCAGGCGCGCAAAUUACCCAAUCCCAAUAAUUUUGGGGAGGUAGUGACAAAAAAUAUCGAUUCGAGCGGACUAUGUCCGUAUCGAAAUUGGAAUGAUUCACCAGUAAAUGAGGUGGAGAGAAACAAUUAGAGGGCAAGUCUGGUGCCAGCAGCCGCGGUAAUUCCAGCUCUAAUAGUGUAUACUAAAAUUGCUGCAGUUAAAAAGCUCGUAGUUGAAUUUGUUGCUGAGUAUGUAGGGUGAAAUUCUUUAUUACAUUGAUCUAUACCUGUAACUUGGUGUAGUCAUGUGGUGGAGAUGCAUUCUUGACUCAGUGUUUGUAAUGUUUUUCGAAGGAUGGUGAGGCACUUUAUUGGGCUUUCACUGUAAUUCGGAGAGUUUACUUUGAAGAAAAUGGAGUGUUCAAAGCAGGUUUAUAAAAAGCGCAACUGAACACAUUAGCAUGGAAUAAUAAAAUAGGACACUUGGUUAUUGUGUGGUAAAACGCACAGUAACUUUCCUCCAUUGGGGGAAAUUCUAUUUUGUUGGUUUAUAGUGCAAGUGUAAUGAUUAAUAGGGACAGUUGGGGACAUUCGUAUUGCAUCGUCAGAGGUGAAAUUCUUGGAUUGAUGCAAGACGAACGAGUGCGAAAGCAUUUGGCAAGGAUGUUUUCAUUAAUCAAGAACGAAAGUUAGGGGAUCGAAGGCGAUCAGAAACCGCCCUAGUCUUAACUAUAAACGAUGCCAACUAGGGAUKGGGGGGAGGAGAUUGUAUUAUAUCUUCUUACGUUUAUAAUAGCAUAAGUGUUGGCAACAAUACUUGGCUAUUUGCCUCGUCAGGACCUGAUGAGAAAUCAUAAGUCUUUGGGUUCUGGGGGGAGUAUGGUCACAAGGCUGAAACUUAAAGAAAUUGACGGAAGAGCACCACCAGGUGUGGAGCCUGCGGCUUAAUUUGACUCAACACGGGAAAACUUACCAGGUCCAGACACGGGGAGGAUUGACAGAUUGAGAGUUUUUUCUUGAUUUCGUGGGUGGUGGUGCAUGGUCGUUCUUAGUUGGUGGAGCGAUUUGUCUGCUUAAUUGCGAUAACGAACGAGACCUCAACCUGCUAACUAAGCUUUUUUUAAUGUAAGAUUUCUUACGUUUUCUACAACAAAGCUUCUUAGAGGGACAACCGUCUUCUAGAUGGGGGAAGCAUGAGGCAAUAACAGGUCUGUGAUGCCCUUAGAUGUCCUGGGCCGCACGCGCGCUACACUGAUGAAAUCAACAAGUUUGAAAUUCACGGUUUUCGUGAUUUUCCUGAUCCGAGAGGAUUGGGUAAUCUUUUGAAUUUUCAUCGUGAUGGGGAUUGAUGUUUGUAAUUAUGGAUCAUGAACGAGGAAUACCUAGUAAGUGCAAGUCAUCAGCUUGCGCUGAUUACGUCCCUGCCCUUUGUACACACCGCCCGUCGCUCCUACCGAUUGAAUGAUAAGAUGAAAUGUUCGGAUUGAGGGGUCGCAUCAAUUUAAGAAUGGUGUUAAAGCCAUUUGGACGUGAUCUCACUAGAAGAACAGUAAAUCUUCUUAUUUAGA
Molecule: ribosomal RNA, 1970 nt
Filed under: Polymastigidae sp. PoOxB
Lineage: Eukaryota; Preaxostyla; Oxymonadida; Polymastigidae
Description: SSU rRNA
Rfam family: Eukaryotic small subunit ribosomal RNA
Source: RNAcentral